CCCAUAAUGUGCAUAUUCUUUAGUAGAAAGUGAUGAAACCACCCGUCAGACGUAUUGUGAAGUUAUAUAUAAUUUGCGUUUUCUAUACAUGUAUUUGUAUGGGCAGGUGAAAUACUUGAGCAAGGGGAGAACUAACCGCUGCAGGGAUUUUUUGAGAAUCACUAUAGGUAUAUGCAGCAAUAUAGCUCAUUACACCGUAAUCUAUG
Pelobates cultripes (western spadefoot toad) is the source of this 206-nucleotide non-coding RNA. NCBI's taxonomy places the organism in Eukaryota, Metazoa, Chordata, Amphibia, Anura, Pelobatidae. The record is from the annotation of a GenBank genome assembly.